Colius striatus (speckled mousebird) is the source of this 922-nucleotide long non-coding RNA. RefSeq lists it as uncharacterized. The record is from RefSeq and is a predicted model, not a curated record. Lineage: Eukaryota; Metazoa; Chordata; Aves; Coliiformes; Coliidae. The transcript has 3 exons.
UAAAAGAGGGAUAUAAAACAAUGUCACUUGAAAGAGGAGGAUGUAGAUGCUGCACUUGGAGCACUUCCCUUUGCAACCCAAUAAUUCCCUCUCCCACGCCUCUAACUUUAACUGCUCUUCAUGUGGGGAGGCUGAAACAACAGCUUGCAAGGAACUGCCACGCAGAGCUGCUGGUUGGGAAGAAGGAACCCAGGGAACUGCACCUCAGCAGCAGAAAGAAGGGAAGCAGACACAAAUGCUGGGACAGACAUUUUCAGCCUUGCAAGCUUCAAAGUCUGCCAGCUUCCAAUAUAACUCCUGUCACGUGAGAGAGCAUUGGCACAUGAAAGACUCUUGGCCCAGCUCAGCUGUCAUCAUCAGCUCUUCUGCUUGGAGAAAGAAAAAAGCCUAGCAAUUUUAGUGUUCCGAAGAAUCAAGAAGUAUAUUCUUCUGCAAAGGAGUUGGAUGAACAUGAUUUACCCAAAAGACACAAUUUAAAACAAAUAAAACCACCAUUAAAACAGUAACCACAGCCUGUGCUGCCACCUAUCCUUGGUUAAUCUCUGCAUUUUCUGCAGGCUGUUUUUCCACUUCCAAACUAUGGGCUCUGCCCUGUAAACAGGGCUGCCCCUCAACUGAUGAAAAGGCCACGGACACCAGCCCUUGUGCCAGCCUUGGGAGCCACAUGCUUGACUCUGGGACAACACAUAAGAUGCAUCUGCUUGGGGCAGGCAUUGGGGCAGGUACUGCAUGUCAGUUCUGUGUUUUGCACACUGGGGGAAAUAUCAGCAAAACUAGUCUUUGGACUAAGACCUCUUUCCAUCUAAAGUCUAUCACUUUACUGUAUUUGUAUUAAAAUUUAAGUGGCUUAUUACUAUGUUUACUUCUUGAAAUACUUAUACUCCCAAGAAAAUAAACUUUUUCUUUCUUGUUGGACUUGCCA